AGAAUAUAAGAUGUUAACGGUGCCAUAACCCUAUCCUUAGGGCGAUUGGUGAAAAGGGAACUAGGUGCAAAUCCUAGACAGUACCCGCUGCUGUAAGCUCCAAAUAGCUUAGUUAAUCUAUCAAAAUACCACUUAGAGCAUAGUGUCUCUUGGGAAGGUGUGCGAAAGUUGGAGUAAGUCAGAAGACCUGCCGAUAACUGCUUUAAUGG
This 209-nucleotide non-coding RNA is filed under the name Porphyromonas sp. Lineage: Bacteria; Pseudomonadati; Bacteroidota; Bacteroidia; Bacteroidales; Porphyromonadaceae. The record is from RNAcentral.